Molecule: ribosomal RNA, 377 nt
Filed under: uncultured bacterium
Lineage: Bacteria
Description: bacterial SSU rRNA
Rfam family: Bacterial small subunit ribosomal RNA
Source: RNAcentral
UAAGACGAGGGUGGCUAGCGUUGUUCGGUGUCACUGGGCUUAAAGAGUGUGUAGGCGGAAAAGUAAGCGUCUUGUGAAAGCCCCCGGCUUAACCGGGGAACUGCUUGACGAACUGCUUUUCUUGAGGCAAGUAGGGGUGCACGGAACUCUUGGUGGAGCGGUGGAAUGCGUAGAUAUCAAGAGGAACGCCGAUGGAGAAAUCAGUGCACUGGGCUUGUCCUGACGCUGAGACACGAAAGCGUGGGGAGCGAACGGGAUUAGAUACCCCGGUAGUCCACGCCGUAAACGAUGUCUACUAGGUUGCGGUAGUUCUGACACUAGCGCGACCGAAGCAAAAGUGUUAAGUAGACCGCCUGGGGAGUACGGUCGCAAGGCUA